AACACUGUUAACCUGCGGUACCUGCGGAGGGAUCAUUAAUGAGUGUAAUCUACCCCUUAAAAAAGGGUGAUACCUCCCCGUCCUUUGCAGGCCCUCCCCCCAUUUUUUUUUGGGGGGGUGGGGCUUUUAUAAGACUUUCUGCUUCGGCGGGGUUAUUCCCGCCGGAACACCCUCAAAAAUCUCUCAAAAAAAUCGUUCAGUCCGAGAAAAUUGAAAAUAUAAAAAAAACUUUCAGCAAUG
This 240-nucleotide unclassified non-coding RNA is filed under the name soil metagenome. Its description in RNAcentral is "partial contains 5.8S ribosomal RNA, internal transcribed spacer 2, and large subunit ribosomal RNA". The record is from RNAcentral.